UGCCAGUGAUGUGAGAAAAAUAUUUGCUACUCUUGAUGGCUUUAAAGAAUCCAUUUGAUGAUUCCUGUUCACCAAGAUCUCUGGGGCA
Molecule: small nucleolar RNA, 88 nt
Organism: Manihot esculenta (cassava)
Lineage: Eukaryota; Viridiplantae; Streptophyta; Magnoliopsida; Malpighiales; Euphorbiaceae
Product: small nucleolar RNA SNORD24
Exons: 1
Source: RefSeq, a predicted model, not a curated record